GGCGAGGUGGCUGAGUGGUUUAAAGCGCGCGUCUCGAAAAUGCGAGGUCGUGAUGAACGGCCCCAGGGUUCGAAUCCCUGCCUCGCCGCCA
RNAcentral lists this transfer RNA (91 nucleotides) under Novimethylophilus kurashikiensis. RNAcentral's name for it is "tRNA-Ser". It matches the Rfam family "tRNA". From Rfam's summary of the family: Transfer RNA (tRNA) molecules are approximately 80 nucleotides in length. Their secondary structure includes four short double-helical elements and three loops (D, anti-codon, and T loops). Further hydrogen bonds mediate the characteristic L-shaped molecular structure. tRNAs have two regions of fundamental functional importance: the anti-codon, which is responsible for specific mRNA codon recognition, and the 3' end, to which the tRNAs corresponding amino acid is attached (by aminoacyl-tRNA synthetases). tRNAs cope with the degeneracy of the genetic code in two manners: having more than one tRNA (with a specific anti-codon) for a particular amino acid; and 'wobble' base-pairing, i.e. permitting non-standard base-pairing at the 3rd anti-codon position. Lineage: Bacteria; Pseudomonadati; Pseudomonadota; Betaproteobacteria; Nitrosomonadales; Methylophilaceae. The record is from RNAcentral.